CUUAUUCUAUAAAUUCAGUAUCAGGUUAGUGCCUCUGUUUAGUGAUUAUAUAGAACUACCUUUUGAACUUGCAGAAACUGAAUGCAUAUAAGAAUCGAGGACCUUUACAGUUGAUGCAUGAUGAUGAUCAUCCACCGAGCAGCACAUCAUCUUGGAAAAGCAGAUGCGAAUUUCUGCUAGGGAUAAGCUGGUCAAUGCAGGAAAAUCUAAAAGAAAGCGACUAAAAUCAACAUUUGAAGGAGAAGGCGCUUAUUUCACCGGCUAAGGUUUCUGUUGGUUACUUCUUUUCGUCCUUCAGUUCAUCGAAAAAUGAAGAGGAUCAUGCCUUUCUGUUGGAAUUGCUUUUCUGGUUUAAGCAAUCAUUCAGAUCACCCAUGCCUCCACUACGCCACCUGCUGUUGGAUGGCACUGGCCGUCCAAGCAUGUGGAACUGGAAGGACUGUCCGUCAUGGCGGCACAGCUCAUCUCAGAGGAGAAAAGACCAAGGUCCUGCAGGUUUCAAGUACUACAUAUAGGAGGAGGCAGGAGUGGCUGCAAUCUUGCUACGAAAUGACACUUACGGAGCUUCUUUACCUAACAUGGCCAAGAAGUCCGCAAAAUCCAGUGAGCGUAGAGUAUAGCCGGUUGGAUACAUAUCUGCAGAGUGCAUGUAGUGUGUGUGUCAGAUAUACAGUGGGAAAACACCACAAUGCAAGUGUCAGAUCCUGUUCUUGAUGCAA
This is an RNA transcript of Triticum aestivum (bread wheat), 719 nucleotides long. RefSeq lists it as uncharacterized. NCBI's taxonomy places the organism in Eukaryota, Viridiplantae, Streptophyta, Magnoliopsida, Poales, Poaceae. The transcript has 5 exons. The record is from RefSeq and is a predicted model, not a curated record.